GGGACAACAGCUAGAAAUGGCUGCUAAUACCGCAUAAGCCUACAGCCUCGCAUGAGGGAGUAGGAAAAGAAAUUCGGUGCAGGAUGAGUCCGCGUCUGAUUAGCUAGUUGGAGGGGUAAAAGCCCACCAAGGCAACGAUCAGUAGCCGGCCUGAGAGGGCGACCGGCCACAUUGGGACUGAGACACGGCCCAAACUCCUACGGGAGGCAGCAGUGGGGAAUAUUGCACAAUGGGGGAAACCCUGAUGCAGCGACGCCGCGUGAGCGAGGAAGUAUUUCGGUAUGUAAAGCUCUAUCAGCAGGGACGAAAAAAGACGGUACCUGACUAAGAAGCCCCGGCUAACUACGUGCCAGCAGCCGCGGUAAUACGUAGGGGGCAAGCGUUAUCCGGAUUUACUGGGUGUAAAGGGAGCGUAGACGGCAAGGCAAGCCAGAAGUGAAAGGGCAGGGCUCAACCCUGUACAUGCUUUUGGAACUGUGGUGCUAGAGUGCAGGAGAGGUAAGUGGAAUUCCUAGUGUAGCGGUGAAAUGCGUAGAUAUUAGGAGGAACACCAGUGGCGAAGGCGGCUUACUGGACUGUAACUGACGUUGAGGCUCGAAAGCGUGGGGAGCAAACAGGAUUAGAUACCCUGGUAGUCCACGCUGUAAACGAUGAAUACUAGGUGUUGG
RNAcentral lists this ribosomal RNA (668 nucleotides) under uncultured bacterium. RNAcentral's name for it is "bacterial SSU rRNA". It matches the Rfam family "Bacterial small subunit ribosomal RNA", at positions 140 to 826 of the family's 1533-position model. The record is from RNAcentral.